This 466-nucleotide long non-coding RNA is filed under the name Triticum aestivum (bread wheat). RNAcentral describes it as "long non-coding RNA (TAES_LNC004817)". The record is from RNAcentral. Lineage: Eukaryota; Viridiplantae; Streptophyta; Magnoliopsida; Poales; Poaceae.
UUGCACUAAUGAUGUAUUAAAACAUUGAUCUGAUGGCAGGAAGAUCCAAGAUGGUACUGUAUGGUUCUUGCGUUAACCCUCUUGUAGAUAUUGAAAUGCAUGAAAGUCACAUUAGAUUAUGUAUUGAAACAUAUACAAGGUUUUCUCUACCAAAGUAUAUAUUGUGUUUCUAUUGUUUGCCUGAGUAAUCUAAAUUCACCUUAUAUUCUUGAAGUUAUUGGUCUAUCAAUUAUUUAUCUGUAUUUCAUUUUGCCAAAAAAACAAAUAGAAGAGCCAAACAUUGCAUGCUUCGACAAACGAAACCUGCCCACGGAGGUGGUGGCGCCGGUGGUAGGCGGCAAUGAGGCAACAACGCUUCAUGAGGCGGUCAAGUCUGUGGUCGUGAGCCGAUGCAUCCACCGACGCCGCAGUCGAGUCAACUUCAGGACUCUAUUAGUGAUAUUUGGUUGUGUUAAAGGAAAAAAAU